Non-coding RNA from Pangasianodon gigas (Mekong giant catfish), 71 nucleotides. The record is from the annotation of a GenBank genome assembly. NCBI's taxonomy places the organism in Eukaryota, Metazoa, Chordata, Actinopteri, Siluriformes, Pangasiidae.
AUAAAGGCCUUGUGUAUGUAAAUGUCAGAUUAAUUAUAAAUAGUGCAGCAGUGAAAUAUUAAAUGAAGUGA